This 693-nucleotide ribosomal RNA is filed under the name Triticum aestivum (bread wheat). RNAcentral describes it as "partial small subunit ribosomal RNA". Lineage: Eukaryota; Viridiplantae; Streptophyta; Magnoliopsida; Poales; Poaceae. The record is from RNAcentral.
AUGUGUGUCCCAAAGAUGAAGGGAGGAAUGGGAUUUUGUGAUUUACAUUGCUUUAACCUUGCACUUCUAGCGAAACGGGCAUGGAGGCCCAUUGUUAAUCCUGAUUCACUUUGUGCAAGGGUCUUGAGAGCUAAAUAUUUUCCGGACGGAGAUCUUCUUAAUGAUACUCUAAAGAAAAGAUCUUCUUAUACUUGGCAAAGCAUCAUGGCAGGAGUCAACACUAUAAAACUUGGGUAUAUUUGGAGAGUGGAUGAUGGUCAGAACAUAAAUAUUUGGAGUGAUCUGUGGAUCCCACAAUUACCGGACAGAAUGGUGAUUACUAGAAGAGGAGGUCAGUUACUAUCGAAAGUUGCUGAUCUUAUAAAUCCCCCUAAUGGUGAAUGGGACGAAUCACUUGUAAACCAAACAUUUUGGCCCAUUGAUGCAAGAAGGAUUCUUGCAAUUCCACUCCCAGCUCAUGACGUGACUGAUUUUAUUCCAUGGAAUUUGACAAAAAUGGGUAUCUUUUCGGUGAGAUCAGCGUACCACAUAGAAUGGAACCGUCAAUUUGGUAGUAGAAUGAAAGUAAGUAAUGGUAUGGGUGCAACUGUUGACAAUCCUAUCUGGAAGACUCUUUGGACCCCGAGAUGUCCAUCUAAGAUAAAAAUUAAAGUAUGGAGGACUCUGCAUGGAGCAUUGCCAUGCCAACACUAG